This 374-nucleotide long non-coding RNA is filed under the name Oryza brachyantha (malo sina). Its description in RNAcentral is "long non-coding RNA (OBRA_LNC000921)". The record is from RNAcentral. Lineage: Eukaryota; Viridiplantae; Streptophyta; Magnoliopsida; Poales; Poaceae.
AAACAUACUACGUAUCGAUUUGCUACCUGAAACUUCGGUACUUCACCGAGCAAACUCGAAUGCUUUGUCGAAACUAUAGAUAUCCAAGUCACUGUUCAGAAAUGGAUUCCUGAAUAUUAUUACUCUGUCGAGUUGGAUACAAAUUGCGACGUGUAAGGGCAGAGCUACAAUUUCUUCUUGUCAACCGGACGAGAUGAGAGUGGAUUUGGAGGGGGGAGCUGGUGCAACUAGAGCGCCCGUAAGGCCCUCGCGUCCGUCAGAUCGUCGAUCAGACGGUGGAUGUCCUGCCACGACGACCCGCCCUCGCCGACGGCGGCGCGCGCGCGGUCCGCCAGCUCGCUCGCCCUGGCCCUGGUCCGGUCCCCGUCGCCNNN